RNAcentral lists this ribosomal RNA (492 nucleotides) under uncultured bacterium. Its description in RNAcentral is "partial 16S ribosomal RNA". It matches the Rfam family "Bacterial small subunit ribosomal RNA", at positions 29 to 507 of the family's 1533-position model. The record is from RNAcentral.
AGUGAACGCUGGCGGUAGGCCUAACACAUGCAAGUCGAACGGCAGCACAGUAAGAGCUUGCUCUUAUGGGUGGCGAGUGGCGGACGGGUGAGGAAUACAUCGGAAUCUACUUUUUCGUGGGGGAUAACGUAGGGAAACUUACGCUAAUACCGCAUACGACCUACGGGUGAAAGCAGGGGAUCUUCGGACCUUGCGCGAUUGAAUGAGCCGAUGUCGGAUUAGCUAGUUGGCGGGGUAAAGGCCCACCAAGGCGACGAUCCGUAGCUGGUCUGAGAGGAUGAUCAGCCACACUGGAACUGAGACACGGUCCAGACUCCUACGGGAGGCAGCAGUGGGGAAUAUUGGACAAUGGGCGCAAGCCUGAUCCAGCCAUACCGCGUGAGUGAAGAAGGCCUUCGGGUUGUAAAGCCCUUUUGUUGGGAAAGAAAAGCAGCAGGUUAAUACCCCGCUGUUCUGACGGUACCCAAAGAAUAAGCACCGGCUAACUUCGUG